This 520-nucleotide ribosomal RNA is filed under the name uncultured Glomus. RNAcentral's name for it is "SSU rRNA". It matches the Rfam family "Eukaryotic small subunit ribosomal RNA", at positions 569 to 1092 of the family's 1831-position model. Lineage: Eukaryota; Fungi; Glomeromycota; Glomeromycetes; Glomerales; Glomeraceae. The record is from RNAcentral.
AGCAGCCGCGGUAAUUCCAGCUCCAAUAGCGUAUAUUAAAGUUGUUGCAGUUAAAAAGCUCGUAGUUGAAUUUCGGGAUCAAUUAAUCGGUCGUGCCUCUGGUACGCACUGGUUUUAUUGGUUUCUCCCUCCUGACGAACCAGGAUGUCAUUAAUUUGGUGUCUUGGAGAAUCAGGACUGUUACUUUGAAAAAUUAGAGUGUUUAAAGCAGGCUAACGCUUGAAUACAUUAGCAUGGAAUAAUGAAAUAGGACGUUUGAUCCUAUUUUGUUGGUUUCUAGGAUCGACGUAAUGAUUAAUAGGGAUAGUUGGGGGCAUUAGUAUUCAAUUGUCAGAGGUGAAAUUCUUGGAUUUAUUGAAGACUAACUACUGCGAAAGCAUUUGCCAAGGAUGUUUUCAUUAAUCAAGAACGAAAGUUAGGGGAUCGAAGACGAUCAGAUACCGUCGUAGUCUUAACCAUAAACUAUGCCGACUAGGGAUCGGAUGAUGUUAAUUUUUAAUGACUCAUUCGGCGCCUUACG